This 863-nucleotide ribosomal RNA is filed under the name uncultured bacterium. RNAcentral's name for it is "bacterial SSU rRNA". It matches the Rfam family "Bacterial small subunit ribosomal RNA", at positions 94 to 988 of the family's 1533-position model. The record is from RNAcentral.
AGUGGCGCACGGGUGAGUAACACGUGGGAACCUGCCCUGGAGUGGGGGAUAACCCGGCGAAAGCCGGGCUAAUACCGCAUACGACCUGAGGGUGAAAGAUUUAUCGCUCUAGGAGGGGCCCGCGUCGGAUUAGCUAGUUGGUGAGGUAACGGCUCACCAAGGCGAUGAUCCGUAGCUGGUCUGAGAGGAUGAUCAGCCACACUGGGACUGAGACACGGCCCAGACUCCUACGGGAGGCAGCAGUGGGGAAUAUUGGACAAUGGGGGCAACCCUGAUCCAGCAAUGCCGCGUGAGUGAUGAAGGCCUUAGGGUUGUAAAGCUCUUUCGGCGGGGACGAUGAUGACGGUACCCGCAGAAGAAGCCCCGGCUAACUUCGUGCCAGCAGCCGCGGUAAUACGAAGGGGGCGAGCGUUGUUCGGAUUUACUGGGCGUAAAGGGCGCGCAGGCGGCCUUAGUAGUCAGGCGUGAAAGCCCCGGGCUUAACCUGGGAAUUGCGCUUGAUACUCUGGGGCUGGAGUACGGGAGAGGAGAGUGGAAUUCCCAGUGUAGAGGUGAAAUUCGUAGAUAUUGGGAAGAACACCGGUGGCGAAGGCGGCUCUCUGGACCGUAACUGACGCUCAGGCGCGAAAGCGUGCGGAGCAAACAGGAUUAGAUACCCUGGUAGUCCACGCCGUAGACGAUGUGCGCUAGACGUUGGAAGGCUUAUCCUUCCGGUGUCGAAGCCAACGCGAUAAGCGCAGCGCCUGGGGAGUACUGCCGCACGGUUCAAACUCAGAGGACUUGACGGGGGGCCCGCACAAGCGGGUGGAGCAUGUGGGUUCAAUACGACGCAACGCGGAGGAUCGUUACCUGCUCUUGACAUG